Cinclus cinclus is the source of this 2296-nucleotide RNA transcript. It is a transcript of the gene named PDZK1 interacting protein 1, with no coding region annotated. NCBI's taxonomy places the organism in Eukaryota, Metazoa, Chordata, Aves, Passeriformes, Cinclidae. The transcript has 7 exons. The record is from RefSeq and is a predicted model, not a curated record.
GUCCCUGGAGCUAUGCUGGGCAGAGCCCUGGGGUGAUAACACAGCCCAGAGUAGCGAGAAGGAAGAUCAGGACCCAGCCCCAGGCGUGACAGGGGAGUGGACAGCAAUAGCAGAAUGUCUCAGACCUUGAAUUUCCCAGGGGCAGCAGUAGGACAGGCUUCUGUAGGACUUCUGAUCUGCUGAUAAAGCCUUCUGCUCCAAACACCCAGGCUGCUUUGGCUGGGUUUUUGCAAAGAGAAAAGCAGCAGGCAGGCAGCAAAUAUGGCCAGCAUCUGUGCAGCUUUUGUGAAGGACAAGCCUUGCGGCCUGCUGCAGCUCUUCGGCUGUUUCUAUCUCUUCUGGUAUUGAAGAAAUUUUGGGAACAGCCCUGAUGACUCAAUAAAAUGAGGUCUGGGUUUGCUCUGCUAAAUAAGUGUCACCAUUAAACAAGGUGUGGGAGGUGAGAGGCAGUAUCCAGCACCGAGCCUGGUCUAGCAAUUGGGUGUUUUAAAGUCACAAAUGUGUUUUGCUGGGUUGUUAGUGACACUCGUCGAAAAGAAAAAGCAAGGAAGAGCAAGGAAGCGAGUGGGGAUCCCAGAGGAUGGGAAGGAAAGUCAGAGCUGGGGCAUUGCUGGGCUCCCCCUGUGGGAGGGGACUUGGGGUGCGCCACAGCUUCACUGGGGAAGAGUUUUACCCAUCUGGGUCUUGUUUUUUCCUCCUGGUCCGAUGCAAAUAUUUUGUGCCCGAGCUCCCUUCCACGCCCCGCCCGAGGAGACCGUCAGGUUCAAGUCGCCGUGCCCCAACUUCCCCUCCGGCUUCCGCGGGAGAAGGCGAAGACGAGGAGGCACCUCCUUCCCGCAGCAGGAUUUGAAUAAGCAGCCCCGUUCCACCAUGCCCGCCCGCUGCCUGCUCCUCCUGGGACUGCUGCUCCAGCUGGAACCUGCCCUCUGCCAGCAGGCCCGGGGCAGCCUCCAGCCGUGGGCACAGGGUGUCAUCGCAGUGGUUGUAUUUCUAGUCCUGGUGGCCAUCGCUUUCGUGGUCAACAGGUUCUGGUGUAAGGAUAAAGUGGAAAAUGUCGAGAACGUGGUGAGUGUGGAGGACAAGCCAGAUGCUGUCACAUCCAACGGCCGUGAAGUGAGAUGUGUAUCAGCUGCAGCUGACUUCAGGUCCAAAGAGAACCAGCACGCCUAUGAGAACUCUGUGGAGCCUGAGGAGAAGGUGAUCACCACGGCCAUGUAGCAGCACCCACCCGCCAACCUCCUCUUCCUCUCAACUUGCUUCCCGCUGUUGCGGUGGGCAUUUCCACAGAGACCCCUCUGCACUGGCACCCCCUGAUGAGCGUGAUUGGGAAGACAACUUCUGGCAUGGCAGUGCUCAUUCCUUCCACACUGCCCUGAAGAGUUGGGGAAUGUCCUCCAGAGUCAGGGCUGGACAUGAGACCUCCAGGUGAGGGGCACCUCCCACAGCCUCAGCAACCUCUCUGAAGGGCCCCGAGCCAACUUGCCCGAGGGCCAAAUCCUCCCCAACACCUUUUUCCACGCAGCACACAGGGAUGAAGGAGUCCUUCACAAACCUUCCCAUGCCCACUAGUGAAGCGUGAGGACACCAUGAGUGUUCUCUCCUACCCUCCAUUCCUUAAUGUCAUAAUCUCUGAAGCCCUGGGCUUCAGGAAGAUGUCUAGGGUUGUGUUCUGCUGCGGACAUGAUAGUAUCCUUUGGGGCAGAAGAUAUUCGGGGUGGGUUUUUUUGCAUCCCUACUUUGUUACAAGUUGUAUCAUAACUUUUCUUUGUGACCUAGGAGGGUGCAAUCCAUCUCUUGGAACCCCAGAUAAUUCAUCCAGUGGGAUAUCCUGUUGAAAGUCACUGUUACUCCAAUGCUUCCCCAGUCUGUCCUGAGGCUCUUUAGCUGUGAAGGUUUGAGAUGUUUCUGUUCCAGCUGUAACUGGAGCAGUUUGGGCAGCUGGACACCUAUGAUAUAAAUUAUCCCAAGGUAGUUUAAUUCCAGUCUUGCUGUAUUCAGGUAAACUGCUGCUGGAAGCAGCACCAGCUCUCUCCCUGCACCUGAACAGAGUUGGGGUUUAUAUCCUGGCAUUGGGCACCUUGACACCCGAGAGGUGUGAUUUGGAUCUCCAGAGGAAAAAAGGGAGCCUUUCCCACCCUCGUGGUCCUUUGGGUGAGGACGAAGCCCAGGCACCCAGGUGGAAGCCAGGAGCAUGCCAUGGAGGGGUGGCUGUGUGUGGGCAAGGGGGCUGAAAAGUUUUUGGUCUCGAUUCAAGCCACUGAAAGCCAGAAGUAAAACACCAUCCAUUGUUGGUUUA